RNAcentral lists this ribosomal RNA (289 nucleotides) under uncultured Asticcacaulis sp. RNAcentral's name for it is "partial 16S ribosomal RNA". The record is from RNAcentral. Lineage: Bacteria; Pseudomonadati; Pseudomonadota; Alphaproteobacteria; Caulobacterales; Caulobacteraceae.
CUACUGGGGUAUCUAAUCCUGUUUGCUCCCCACGCUUUCGAGCCUCAGCGUCAGUCAUGGACCAGUAAGUCGCCUUCGCCACUGGUGUUCUUCCGAAUAUCUACGAAUUUCACCUCUACACUCGGAGUUCCACUUACCUCUUCCAUACUCAAGGCUGACAGUUUUGAAGGCAAUUCCAGGGUUGAGCCCUGGGCUUUCACCUCCAACUUGUCAACCCGCCUACGCUCCCUUUACGCCCAGUAAUUCCGAGCAACGCUAGCCCCCUUCGUAUUACCGCGGCUGCUGGCAC